AUUGAACGCUGGCGGCAGGCCUAACACAUGCAAGUCGAGCGGAUGAAGGGAGCUUGCUCCUGGAUUCAGCGGCGGACGGGUGAGUAAUGCCUAGGAAUCUGCCUGGUAGUGGGGGAUAACGUCCGGAAACGGGCGCUAAUACCGCAUACGUCCUGAGGGAGAAAGUGGGGGAUCUUCGGACCUCACGCUAUCAGAUGAGCCUAGGUCGGAUUAGCUAGUUGGUGGGGUAAAGGCCUACCAAGGCGACGAUCCGUAACUGGUCUGAGAGGAUGAUCAGUCACACUGGAACUGAGACACGGUCCAGACUCCUACGGGAGGCAGCAGUGGGGAAUAUUGGACAAUGGGCGAAAGCCUGAUCCAGCCAUGCCGCGUGUGUGAAGAAGGUCUUCGGAUUGUAAAGCACUUUAAUUUGGGAGGAAAGGCAGUAAGUUAAUACCUUGCUGUUUUGACGUUACCAACAGAAUAAGCACCGGCUAACUUCGUG
RNAcentral lists this ribosomal RNA (484 nucleotides) under uncultured bacterium. RNAcentral describes it as "partial 16S ribosomal RNA". It matches the Rfam family "Bacterial small subunit ribosomal RNA", at positions 30 to 507 of the family's 1533-position model. The record is from RNAcentral.